Molecule: transfer RNA, 74 nt
Organism: Ovis aries (sheep)
Lineage: Eukaryota; Metazoa; Chordata; Mammalia; Artiodactyla; Bovidae
Rfam family: tRNA
About the family: Transfer RNA (tRNA) molecules are approximately 80 nucleotides in length. Their secondary structure includes four short double-helical elements and three loops (D, anti-codon, and T loops).
Source: Rfam
UCCCUGAUGGUCUAGUGGCUAGGAUUCCAGCACUUCCAAUUCAGGGGGCCCAGGUUUGAUUCCUGGUCAGGGAA